UGAAAACUAAAAAUUAUAUAUUUAUUAAUGUGUCCUUUUUUAACUAUUUUGCUCAUAACAACAUUUAAAACCGUAAUUUUAACGAAACACAUACCAAAUAAUAUUUUUGUUCAACAAUAAUUUUCUAUUUUGUCAUCAAACAAGUAAAUUGCUUUUCAAAAUAGCAAUGUAUGAUUAGCACGUCUUAAAAUAGCAUCAACAACAAUGCAAAUAUACCCUUACUAGGUAUGAAAACAUAAUUUGGAUAUUCAAAAUAUUUGGCUGCUAACCAUAGACUUUUUCAUUUAAUAAAAGAAAAAUAAAUAAACAUCCAUUUGAAUAAUCAUAUAUUAAUUAGAACGUAAUAACUCUAUAAUGUUCACAAUUUCAUCUCAAAUCUCAGAAGAGGCUGCACUGCAAAAUGGACAUUGAUAAGCAAAAGAACUAGUAUCUUCAUUCAUCCUCGGAAGUGAAUAUUAACCGAUGGCUGCAAGAACAUCGUUUGCUGAAUUGAGAGAGCUAGUGGCAAAAAUGGAUGGAAAAGGAAUGAUGAGACCUUUCUUUUUUGACAGUCUAUACUUCCAGCUUCCGGACCUGGCUUAAUCUUAAAUUUGAGGGUACAUGGUUGUCUUCUAGAAAUAAACUUGAUGGGAUGGUCUGUUGAAGGCCUAUGCCGGUCAGCAGCAGAUAUGAGCUACAACAGAACAACAAUGAAUGGUAACAAACAAGAAAACAUGAGAAAUAACAAAUAUGUAGUAGAAUUUUUGCUCACAGACAUGAGAACGUAUUACGUGCACAAAAAUCAUAAAGCUACUACACGAUCUGUUCCAGAAGAUGGGAUAAAUGAAGAAAACAUAACCUAGCUUUUACUUUAAAAAAGCUACACAAAAUCAAGAAUACAAAAACAUAAAAGAGUAGAUAUAGCCAAGAGAAUAGAUUCGACCCCAUGUAUCUAAAACCACCUAUAUUCUUAAUUCCUCUUAGUAAUUUCCCUCUUUCGUACCUCAACGCCCGCUCUUCCUUUCUUAAACCUGAAAUUUCUUUAGCAACUAUUUCAUUUCACUUGUUCACUCCUCUUGGAGGGGAGGGGGUUGGAUGGGUUAGGUUGUUUUGUGCUUUCUUAUACAAUGUCUUACUUUCAUUGUUUUAACAUAUUUUAUGCUCCAUUUGAAGAUUCGAUGAGAAUUUGAUAACCAGCCAUUGGAAAGGAUGAGGCUCUAAACCUUCACAGUCCACAAGUUUCCUUCACAAUUACAAGUUCAAAUGAUUCAUCUUCAACAUCGGGCCCUCUAUUAAUCAACACGAGCAAGCCUAUUUCAUUUUUUUUUCCUAUAAGAGCAACAGGAAACAAUUGUCACCAAACUUUCAUUUUGAAAUUCCUUCGAGUCACUCAGUGGUGUUUUAGACAGUCAUUAAGUGGACAUUAUGCUAUUAAGCCUUCUUCACUUGCACAGUUACACUGGAUUUGUUUCCUGGUAUCUCUUCAUUUGAGACCAUUUUUGAAAGUGGGUGGUAUUUAUAUAUCACAAGUUCAGGCUUCAGGUAGGCAUGCACAAUGUUUAUUGGAGGAAAGAAUUACAUGGCUCUGAAACUAAUAUCACAAGUUCUUAUCGAUAUGUGUUUUUAUACCUAGAAGUAGAAUCUUUAUGGUGCAAGCAGAGCCAAGGCUGUUUUUUAUCACUAAGCAAACUCUAGAUUUCCCAUGUGGACUCUGGAUGUUUUCCAGCAUUCAUGUUAGCAAACUAAGGUACUGUUUAUUUCAUUGGAAAAUAUUUCUACAUUAUACGAAAUUUGAGAUGCUUAUGAAAAGUGGUCAGUGGAACCAGACUUGACAGACUCAUCGAAAAGAAGAUACGAACUAUAUAAGCACAUACACCUUAGUCCAGUACUGUCACCAACCACUAUCAGUCGCAAGCAAUAAUAAUAACAAUUUAAGGCAAUAAUAAUAUUUUAACAUUUUUUAUGCAAUUUCUCAUAUUAAACAAUAAAUACAAAAAAAGUGGCUUUUAUGCAUCCCAACAUUGUCUUAUAUCUCCAAAGAAAAGUAAUAUUUCCUAAUAAAUUGCAAAUGCCAAAAAAUGAUUUUUGAUUAAUUUUCAAUACUGCAACCGAACAAUAAAAAGUGAGAUAUUUUCUCAGAAAAUAUUUUCCUCAAAGUAAGGUACUUUCCAUGAAACAAAUGGAGCUUAAGUGCUUAAGUUUUAGAAGGUUUUAGUUGGUUGUUUUUGUCAUGACCAUAGGUGGCAUAUUGAUCUUAGCAAAAACACAAGAUUACAAAAGCCUAUAUAGUCUAAACAUCAUCAUCUUAAAGUAAAUUUUGAGUUUUACAGUUUCUAGAACACAAUUACCAAGAGAUGAUAUUUCUUUGGCUUAAAUGAAAUAACCUUUUAGUCCCUAAAACUAAAGUACAUCAUAUGUGAAAUUACAAGCUCUAAACAACUUUUCUUUUUAAAGUUUCAAUUACUAAACUAUAUAUUAAUUUAACAUAAGGACUAAGCAUAAGCUAAUCAUAAAGUUAAGGACCCCAACAUAAAUAAUUUUAAAAAAGGAAAGACCUGAAUGUAUAUUUUGGCAAAUGUUGGAAGUUUUUGUAAUUUACUUCCAAAAUAUUUAUCAAACAACUCCUUAAACUAAAUAGGUAGUGUUUAAAGCAUCACUUUUACAUUUUAAGCAGUUAGUGUCUCCUCAAGUUAAAGUGGUCAAUAGCAAGUUAAAAGGGCCAAGUAAACAGUAAGAAAAGAAAUAGGUUCCUGUUUGAGUAUCUAACAUUAUUAGUUAACUGGCUCAUAAUCAUGUUGAAUUGUUGAUCCAAAUCAUGUUAAAUGCGUGAGUUAACACAAAAUAAACAUGGCAUGCCAAUCAGAAUUUCCACUGGUAUGUAGUAGGCAUGCAAUAACACAAAAUAGAAACCAAUUGUGUUUUGGAAUCAAAC
Molecule: unclassified non-coding RNA, 2911 nt
Filed under: Hevea brasiliensis (rubber tree)
Lineage: Eukaryota; Viridiplantae; Streptophyta; Magnoliopsida; Malpighiales; Euphorbiaceae
Source: RNAcentral